This is a non-coding RNA of Peromyscus maniculatus bairdii (prairie deer mouse), 973 nucleotides long. The record is from RefSeq and is a predicted model, not a curated record. NCBI's taxonomy places the organism in Eukaryota, Metazoa, Chordata, Mammalia, Rodentia, Cricetidae.
CACAGCGUUCUGAUUCAGUGAACACCUUCUUGCCCCGCCCCACUUACUCCUCAAAAUCUCAAAUGUGGCCUUUCCAAAUGUCCAAGCAGGGGCGGGCAGUCUGCCUCCUUCCUAGCUUAAGCUGUCCAGCAGCCCGUUCUUAAUUAUGUGUCAAUGUUUAAUCAAGUCAAAAACAUCCCUCGCAGCAGAAUCCAGGUUAUUCUUGGAAUCAGAGCUAAGCUAUUAAGCAAUCGACACCUGAGAGGAAAACAAACCCCGAACACUCCUGAGGAUUUCAAAUCUAAGUGUUUGCAAAUAUGUGCAUAAUCUAGAGGAACAGGUGGAAGGAAAGAAGGACCCCCGGGGUUCUGGCAGCGGGACUAGCUAAGGCCAGCUCCUCACUUACCAUCUUGCAGAAGAAAGCGCUGCAGAGACUGGGCCCACUCAGCUUUUUCUUAAAGCCAGAGUUAGCUUGAAAUGGGACUGCAGAGAGGAGCAAGGAAGCGAGUUCUAAUCCGCUGGAGCUGCGAGUGACGUGCGUGGGGCUCCUGGCGGGUGUUGCUUGCUCUCUGAUUUAGUGCAAGGCUGUCAAACAGGUGCCUCAGGAGCCGCCCAGCCUAAGCUACAGCCACUCGAGCUCCGGAGACACCCGCACUGGGACGCGAGACCUGCGGGACGCCAAGGAAGGACCCGAGGCUCCAGGUCGCUGGGGCUGUGCCCAGUCAAAGCCUGUGCCUGUGCGAACUGAGCCUAUCUGGUAUACCUGGCGCGGUGGCGGCUGGCGAUGGGGACUCAGCUGCCCCACUCCCUCUGUGCCACGCGCCCAGCAGCCGGCAGGGCGGGGCUGGGCAGGGCGGCCAGCCAGCCCCCGGCGGCAUCCGAAGUCCAAAGCUUAGUCUCUGUGCAGCGCUAAAGAAGCCCAUCCAAGAGACCCUGGUGUGAGUGGUGUUCCCUGCAUGCCCUGGGCACAGGAAAACAAGUGAUGGCAACUUAA